Molecule: long non-coding RNA, 222 nt
Filed under: Mytilus galloprovincialis (Mediterranean mussel)
Lineage: Eukaryota; Metazoa; Mollusca; Bivalvia; Mytilida; Mytilidae
Source: RNAcentral
CUAAUUAGCAGUUAUUGUUAUGUACAUGUAUUGGAGCAUAGUAAACAUGUGAUAGACACCCAAUAUUUUUUAUACUGAUGUGAAUUAAACCAGAAUAUUGAACUUGCAAUUGGGUUGACAUUGGAUGUUUGAUUGAUUGGAUUUGGUAUCAAAUGAGGGAAGAAGGGCUCUUACAGGUACACAUUUGUAAUAAUGAUUAUUAGGCAUAAAUCAAUAAACCAC